This 254-nucleotide ribosomal RNA is filed under the name uncultured bacterium. RNAcentral describes it as "partial 16S ribosomal RNA". It matches the Rfam family "Bacterial small subunit ribosomal RNA", at positions 524 to 776 of the family's 1533-position model. The record is from RNAcentral.
CACGUAGGGUCCAAGCGUUGUCCGGAUUUAUUGGGCGUAAAGAGCUCGUAGGCGGCUUGGUAAGUCGAGUGUGAAAACUCUGGGCUCAACUCAGAGACGCCACUCGAUACUGCCAUGGCUUGAGUCCGGUAGGGGAGUGUGGAAUUCCCGGUGUAGCGGUGAAAUGCGCAGAUAUCGGGAGGAACACCAGUAGCGAAGGCGGCACUCUGGGCCGGAACUGACGCUGAGGAGCGAAAGCGUGGGGAGCGAACAGG